Molecule: long non-coding RNA, 263 nt
Filed under: Vigna radiata
Lineage: Eukaryota; Viridiplantae; Streptophyta; Magnoliopsida; Fabales; Fabaceae
Description: long non-coding RNA (VRAD_LNC016940)
Source: RNAcentral
GGAGCAACCUUUAAUGCGAAAUGCACCAAAUAACAACAUCGAUCCAAGAAGAGGAAGGAAGCAUGUGAGGAAUAAACCGGAAGUGAAGGAGUUUAAAGAAAGAAAUAAGAGAAGGGAAAGAGGGCAGAGUUGCCCAAGAGAGAAAGUGAGAGUCGAGAGGGGUAAGCGUGAAAAGAAAGAGUGAGACUGAGGGGUAAAAGAGAGUUUUUUAGGUUUAAAAAAUCAGAGAAUUUUGUCAAAGAUUCUUCUGAAUUUUUUUAAAU